Long non-coding RNA from Sorghum bicolor (sorghum), 566 nucleotides. RefSeq lists it as uncharacterized. The record is from RefSeq and is a predicted model, not a curated record. NCBI's taxonomy places the organism in Eukaryota, Viridiplantae, Streptophyta, Magnoliopsida, Poales, Poaceae. The transcript is spliced from 3 exons.
GUUUUUUGUGUUUAGAUUUUUUUUUUGCUUUUACUUUAAUGAACUAUACUGACAAACUGAGUCAAUUCUGUUUUUUUUUUAUCUUAAUUAGUUGAAAGCAGAAUUCCUGCGAUUGCCUUUUUUUUUUUAAAAAAAAUAUUCGAGCAAUUUUUACGAGAGUUCAAAUUCUCAUCACUGGGAAAACGUCUUCAUUUCCAUCGCGGAUGUAGCGAAACUCCGUCAUCCCAACACACGGAUGGAAACAAUAGAUUUCCAUAGGCCGCGGCGUCUCACUGCUCUGCAAAUUUGCGCGUGUGGCUCCCGGGUGCUGCUCCUGAGCGUUGGAACUAGCGGGAUCCAAAGAUCCAGAUGGAGCCGCCGUGGUGAUACUUCUGCUGUGAUUUUGGUCUCCCUUUGCUUUGCUGUUCUGGGUUGAACUUUUGUCCAGGCAGGCACCAUGUCCCAGGAAGUGGGUGUGGUCCCUGUGAGAUUUGCAGCCAGCAGAUGAAGUGAGCAAACAGUAAAACAACCGUUUUUUUUUUUGGGUGGGGUGGGAUGAACCGUUGAUUAACACAAAGGUAUGGAAC